This 393-nucleotide ribosomal RNA is filed under the name uncultured bacterium. RNAcentral's name for it is "partial 16S ribosomal RNA". It matches the Rfam family "Bacterial small subunit ribosomal RNA", at positions 523 to 918 of the family's 1533-position model. The record is from RNAcentral.
AUGCGGAGGAUGCGAGCGUUAUCCGGAUUUAUUGGGUUUAAAGGGAGCGUAGGUGGGAUAUUAAGUCAGCUGUGAAAGUUUGGGGCUCAACCUUAAAAUUGCAGUUGAUACUGGUUUCCUUGAGUACGGUACAGGUGGGCGGAAUUCGUGGUGUAGCGGUGAAAUGCUUAGAUAUCACGAAGAACUCCGAUCGCGAAGGCAGCUCACCGGGCCGGAACUGACACUGAUGCUCGAAAGUGCGGGUAUCAAACAGGAUUAGAUACCCUGGUAGUCCGCACAGUAAACGAUGAAUACUCGCUGUUUGCGAUACACUGUAAGCGGCCAAGCGAAAGCGUUAAGUAUUCCACCUGGGGAGUACGCCGGCAACGGUGAAACUCAAAGGAAUUGACGGGG